This 402-nucleotide ribosomal RNA is filed under the name uncultured bacterium. RNAcentral's name for it is "bacterial SSU rRNA". It matches the Rfam family "Bacterial small subunit ribosomal RNA", at positions 355 to 774 of the family's 1533-position model. The record is from RNAcentral.
UGGGGAAUAUUGCACAAUGGGCGAAAGCCUGAUGCAGCAACGCCGCGUGAGUGAUGAAGGCCUUCGGGUUGUAAAGCUCUGUCUUCUGGGACGAUAAUGACGGUACCAGAGGAGGAAGCCACGGCUAACUACGUGCCAGCAGCCGCGGUAAUACGCAGGUGGCAAGCGUUGUCCGGAUUUACUGGGCGUAAAGGAUGCGUAGGCGGAUACUUAAGUCAGAUGUGAAAAUCCCGGGCUUAACUUGGGAACUGCAUUUGAAACUGGGUAUCUAGAGUGCGGGAGAGGAAAGUGGAAUUCCUAGUGUAGCGGUGAAAUGCGUAGAGAUUAGGAAGAACACCAGUGGCGAAGGCGACUUUCUGGACCGUAACUGACGCUGAGGCAUGAAAGCGUGGGGAGCAAACA